Molecule: non-coding RNA, 73 nt
Organism: Cordylochernes scorpioides
Lineage: Eukaryota; Metazoa; Arthropoda; Arachnida; Pseudoscorpiones; Chernetidae
Source: the annotation of a GenBank genome assembly
UUCCAGGGGCGGGAAUCGAACCCACAACGUUCCGCUUACCGGGCAGAUGCCAUGUCCACUAAGCUACCCUUGA